RNAcentral lists this RNase P RNA (368 nucleotides) under Deltaproteobacteria bacterium. Its description in RNAcentral is "RNase P RNA component class A". It matches the Rfam family "Bacterial RNase P class A". Rfam says of the family: Ribonuclease P (RNase P) is a ubiquitous endoribonuclease, found in archaea, bacteria and eukarya as well as chloroplasts and mitochondria. Its best characterised activity is the generation of mature 5'-ends of tRNAs by cleaving the 5'-leader elements of precursor-tRNAs. The record is from RNAcentral. Lineage: Bacteria; Pseudomonadati; Myxococcota; Myxococcia.
GAAGUAGUCCAGGUGGUCGCUGCCGGUUUGACCGGUGGAGGAAAGUCCGGGCUCCAUAGGGUGUGACGCUGGAUAACGUCCAGCGGGGGUGACCCCAGGGAUAAGUGCCACAGAGAGAAGUCCGCCUGCCUCGGCAGGUAAGGGUGAAAGGGUGAGGUAAGAGCUCACCGGGUCUGACGGUGACGUCAGAUGCCAGGUAAACCCCGUCAGGAGCAAGGCCAAAUAGGGAGGCGUUAAGGGCGACCCGCCCGUGCCUUCGGGUUGGCUGCUUGAGGCUGCCGGUAACGGCAAGCCCAGAUGAAUGGCCAUCACCCGGUAUGGGGUAACCAGUACCGGGAACAGAACCCGGCUUACGGACUGCUUCAACC